This 253-nucleotide ribosomal RNA is filed under the name Anaerobutyricum hallii. Its description in RNAcentral is "partial 16S ribosomal RNA". It matches the Rfam family "Bacterial small subunit ribosomal RNA", at positions 524 to 776 of the family's 1533-position model. The record is from RNAcentral. Lineage: Bacteria; Bacillati; Bacillota; Clostridia; Lachnospirales; Lachnospiraceae.
UACGUAUGGAGCAAGCGUUAUCCGGAUUUACUGGGUGUAAAGGGUGCGUAGGUGGCAGUGCAAGUCAGAUGUGAAAGGCCGGGGCUCAACCCCGGAGCUGCAUUUGAAACUGCUCGGCUAGAGUACAGGAGAGGCAGGUGGAAUUCCUAGUGUAGCGGUGAAAUGCGUAGAUAUUAGGAGGAACACCAGUGGCGAAGGCGGCCUGCUGGACUGUUACUGACACUGAGGCACGAAAGCGUGGGGAGCAAACAGG